This 498-nucleotide ribosomal RNA is filed under the name uncultured bacterium. RNAcentral describes it as "partial 16S ribosomal RNA". It matches the Rfam family "Bacterial small subunit ribosomal RNA", at positions 30 to 523 of the family's 1533-position model. The record is from RNAcentral.
AUUGAACGCUGGCGGCAUGCCUUACACAUGCAAGUCGAACGGUAACGGGCCUUCGGGUGCCGACGAGUGGCGAACGGGUGAGUAAUGCAUCGGAACGUACCUUUCAGUGGGGGAUAACGUAGCGAAAGUUACGCUAAUACCGCAUAUUCUGUGAGCAGGAAAGCAGGGGAUCGCAAGACCUUGCGCUGAUUGAGCGGCCGAUGUCAGAUUAGCUAGUUGGUGAGGUAAAGGCUCACCAAGGCGACGAUCUGUAGCGGGUCUGAGAGGAUGAUCCGCCACACUGGGACUGAGACACGGCCCAGACUCCUACGGGAGGCAGCAGUGGGGAAUUUUGGACAAUGGGGGCAACCCUGAUCCAGCCAUGCCGCGUGAGUGAGGAAGGCCUUCGGGUUGUAAAGCUCUUUCGGCCGGGAAGAAAUCGCACAGGCUGAUACCUUGUGUGGAUGACGGUACCGGAAUAAGAAGCACCGGCUAACUACGUGCCAGCCGCCGCAGUAA